UCAAAAUAAGUUAUUAUUGAAUUCAUCAGUACCAUGAUAUACACGGAUGGCUAUAGCAAGAUAGAAAAUUUAGUUUGAGCUUUGAUUGCCAAAGAUAUUUAGUUUUGUUUUGUUGUAUCUCCGUGAACUACCCUUUUAUACAUGCACGAUUUCUCUCAACUUCACCUUUUGUUUGGAAUUUAACAGAGCUUAACUAUAUAUAAUAAUAGGCUAAUAGCUAUGAAUGUAGUAAAAUCUAUCCGACUUGGUGUCUAGCGAUGUAUUUACCUUGUAGUAGCUCCAGGCCUCCUCCCCUGAAGGAACAGUAUGGCACAGAGGACGGUCGCUGCAGAACGCGACUCGAGCAGUUGACAGAUAGAGCGUCCCGGCAACAGGGCCAGUAGAUGUUGAGAGGUAACAAGCAAAACUCUUCUUCAGCUUCUCAUUAGGAUCGGUGGUUUCAAAUAUAUGCUUGAAGAGAGACUCAAAGCCACCCUCUGUCAUUGCUUUCACCGUCAGGUUUACCUUACCCCAGGCAGCUUGUGGCACAGAUGGCCCUGUGCUAACUGCAUUAAAGUGUAUGUGCAGGUGCGUGUUAAAACAGAUCAGAAAUAAGAUUGGAAGAUACACUUGAACUAAAUUUGUUGUCCGCUUUGAUGCCAGAAAAUCGCUACUCUAUCAUGGUCACAGUUACAGUGACGAUCAAUUAGCUAAUUUAAUAUUUCAUGGUUUGUGAACAUCAACUUACGAUUGUGCCAGAUGUUACGGGCUACGGUCUCUGCCAUCUUGCCCCAUUCUUGAAACUUAUGGAUCACAGGUUCAAAAGAUUUCUGGGUUGACAUUUCUGAUUUGUCAAUGGGAGUAUAAACCAGGUAUGGGUGCUCGGGGAUUUGCUGGUGCUCACUGGCAUUCCAUAAGGCAGCCUGUUGGUUGUCAGGGUGGAAAUUAGGUGCUGCUGGAGGCCCCAUGAUGUGGGUGCCCCAUUUCUUGGAUUUCUCAUCCGAUGCUGGUGGUUGAUCCUUAGGGUGGGAUUCCUCCGUGACAGUGGCAGAUGAGGUUGGUUCAUGGAAUUCUGCCUCUUGAUCAGCCUUUGAAGAUGGUGGUGGUGGAGGUACUUGUUGGGUUUCUGUCUCUUGCGGAGUGCCUGUCAUCUUUACUAAAUAAAAUUGAAUGGAAGGUAAAAGGGGGAAAACACGAAAAGCGGCAGAUCAAGAUUGGUUAUCUGAUCCAGUGAGAACUCUUGGAAGAUUUGAUGGUUUGGUUGGUGCUAAUAAACUUUUGAUUUAUAGAAGUUCAAUUCAUGGGUUAUCCAUAUUAUAUAAUUUCUAGACACGGUUUCGUUUUCUUUGCAAUGAAGAAAGAUGAAAAAUCAACCUUCUAGAUUAGCAAUAAUGUUUUCAGCGUCUUUAGCCAGCCAUAUUGUAUAAAUUAUGCUCUUUCUAGAUAUUUUGCAAAAGGGGUGCCAAUGUCAAAGCACUGCUUGAUAUUACCACGAAUAGAAAAGAAGGUUUGUCUGCUUUGCAUCAACAAAUUAUCAUGAAUGGAAAAUAUCUAAAAAAUACUAAUUUAAUAUUUUGAAUUAUGCUCUGUCCAGAUGUAGGAUAUUUUGAAAACGGAUGACAAUGUAGGAUAUUUCUAGAUUAGCAAAAAAAAACUAUAUCUAGGUGCAUGUUGUUAAUAUUUUUCUAGUAAAAAAAUUAAAUUGAAUAGAUUCGAAGUAGGUUUAAAUGUAAUUAGAAUGAUUAGUAAAAUAUAAUUAAUUUAACUAAAAAAAUUUAAGAUGAUAUUUAAAAAAAAAAAUUGAAUUGAAAACAUAUUGGAUCGACCUGAAUUAAUUCAGGUUUAUCUAUUAAAUACCCAACUUGAGUUAUAAAACCACAAUAACCAUAUAUAAAACGAAUUGAAAAAAGUUAGGUGCUCAAUUUCUAAUCAACUCAAUAUUUUGUUAAAUUUUUUAAAGUAUAUAAUUAAAAAAAUAAUCUUAGUUAACCACUAAACUUACGACUCAAGUCAUGAAACGAGGAUUAACUUAUAUAAUGUAAAAUAAAAUAAAUUAUGAAGUCUUAUUCUUAAUAAAUCAAAUGUUGAAUAAUGAAAUUAAAAUUAAAUAAUUAAAAAUUGACAAAAAAAAGACUUAAAUCAACCCGGGUCAACUUUCCAAACUUAUAACUCAAAUCAUAGGACUGAAAUAACAUCAUAGAAAAUAAAUAAAUAAAAAAUGACCUUGGUUAAAUCGAGUUAACCUAUCAAACUUGUGAGUCGAUUUAAGAAAUUUAGAUAACCCCAUUGAAAGCAAAUCACAACAAAUUAUGAAACUCAAUUCUCAAUCAAUCAAUUUUAAAAUGAUAAAAUUGAAAAAAAAAAUUAAAAAAAAUAAUAAAACAACUUGAGUCUACCUAAGUUAACCAACGAAACUUGUGACCCGAGUAAUAAGACCGGGAUAACCUCGAAAUAAAUAAUUAAGUUUAAUUUCUAAUCAAAUCAAUAUAAAAAUAUAAAUUUUUUUUAAAAAAAUUAAAAACAAACCUUAGUAAACUUGGCUAACAAACCAAACUAAUAUUUUGUGAUAUAAUGAACAGUAAGAAAUCAUUUAUUUUAGUAUUUUUUUUAAUAAUAAUUUGGUUGAUAAUAAUUUGUUAAUGUUAUCAACCUGUUAAACCAUAUAAAUUAUGCCCUUUCUAGAUGUAGGAUAUUUUUGAAAACAGACGCCAAAACUUUGAGACCAAGGGACUUCACAAACUGGUUCUAUUAAGACAGGUGCAUUUGUCAAUAAUUUCUAGAUCCUUCUUUUAGCAGCCCCAUGUUGACCAGUUACAAGGAUCACGGUCAACAGGUUAGAACCAAGAGGUUUUAUUUUUUCUAGGAUUUCAAAUUUAAACUUUAAUUACUAAUAUAAUGAUUAUUAAAAUAAAAAUUUAUAUAAUUAUUAAAUUUAAAAUUCAUAAAAUUAAUCAAAAUAAAUACAAAUUAUGUCAAAUAUUUAUAUUAAUUAAAAAAAAAAACAGAGAGAGAGAUUACGGUCUACCCUUUACAUGAACUCAAAUAUAGCACCACGCGGGAUUAGUGCUCCCUUGUUUUAAAAAUUUUAUUUGCUUCGGUUUUCUGGGACUGGCACUAGAAGGUGUACAUGGAUUUUAAUUACAAUCGUGAGUGUGUUUGAUUUUUCAUUUUUUUUCUUUAAAUAAUUUUUCAAAAAUAGAGAAACAACUGUUCAAAUAUUAAAUUUUAUGAUACAUCUAAAUCCAAUCAUUAAGACUUGAUUUGUAAAUUCGAUAUGGUGGGUGCUGACGUGUCAUAUUGUGUCUCGUGGCUUUUACAAUCCGCCACAUAAGAAAAAGUUUACUGGUUGGGUAUGACAUGGCAUCCUUGAAUGGGUGAGGAGACCUUUUUGAUCAUUGACUAUUUAAAGGGACUUGACCAAGAGGACAUCCGUGGUCGAUGUAACAUAUUCAUCAGCUUUAAUGACAAAUCGUACAUACAUUACAUGCAAAUUCUCGAAGCAUGUGACAUUGUUUUUUUACGUAACCACUAAGAAUAUUUCGUAAUAUAUUAAUAAUGCCUGAAUACAUUUAUAUUUUAAAAGUUUUUUUUAAAAAUUUAAUUUAAUUUAAUUUUUAUUUUUUUAUUUUAAAUUAUAUGCUGAUGUUAAAAAUAAUUUUUUUAAAAAAUAUAUAUUUUAAUAUAUUUUCAAAUAAAAAAUACUUUAAAAAAUAAUUAUAACUACACCCUCAAAGACCAAUUAAAUAGAAAAAACAAAUUUUGGCUACAUAUUUAAUAUGGUAGAUUGCAUUCUCCACUUCAAACAUUUUAUGUUUUUAUAAAUUCAAAUAUUAUAAAUUAAAUUGAUAUAUUUUUAAUUUUUAUAACUAUUAAUUAAAUUGAAAAACUUAUAAUAUACUAUAACUAGGUAUAAAAUUUCAUACAUAACACUCUAUCGAAAAACUAGAUUUUAAUGGUCUAAAGUUACAAACUCAUUAUUUUUAUUUCAAUUCCUUAAUUUCAUUAUUUCUUCAGAUUCAUCUAUCAAAACAUAUAAAAUCACUUUCAAUGAUUUUCUGUCAAUCUAACAUUCACUCCUUAAAAGUGAUUAGAAAUUAGUAUUAUAAAACCCUAAUUCCUAAACCUUUUUUUUUUGUAAUCCUAAUAUAUAUAUAUAUAUAUAUAUAUAUAUAUAUGCAAAAACUCUCAAUUACAAAGCAAGGAUGGAGCACACACCUUAAAUUGAUAAUAAAAAAAAUAUUUUAUCUAUAAAUCAAAUCUUCUCCUUUCUCUCUCUUUCUCUGUUGAUGUAGGUUUUGAUUAUCUAAUAAAAUUAGAGUGUAAGUUACUCUAAAGUUUUGUUUUCUUUUUAUACUCUAAAUUAUUGUGUAACUACUAACUUAUAAUACCCUUAAUAAAUAAAAAGGGCAUAAUAAAAACCCUAAUUAAUUAUUUUAUUUUAUUUAUUAUUGCUAUUUUAUAUAUAUAUAUAUAUCAAAACAUGUGAAAUGUUUUAGUUAUCCCUCAACCAUAGUCACCUAUAAUUACUCAUUAAAGGAUAAUGUUGUCCUUUCCUAUUCAAUUUUUCAUGGUAUCACAGACACAUUAGUAGCCUCCAUUGAUGAGUCAGCCUUCUACGAACACAACAGCAAAUACAUAGCAUCAACAAGUUACAUGUAGUAGCAGAAGAUCAGUCAUACCAACAGCAGAAAAAACUCCAGCGACAGCAACUUCAAAACAUGUACAGGAAUAGUAGCAACUGUUAAGAUUGUCCAAAAAUAUUAGAAAAUAAUAAUUAAGACAAGAGCAUAUAUAUACGUAGUUUAUAAUCAUGAAAUUCAUUAGAUCAUGGUAAAUUUGCUAUCAUAACAAAAAGUAUAUAUAAAAGACUCUAACAUGCAUUCUAGCAUAUACCAAACUUGAUAAUGAUAUAAAAAUAAAGUCUUAGCAAGCAUACUAGUCAUACAACAUAUUUUUUAAUAAUUUAAAACAAAACCAAAAAUACAUUACUUAUUUUUUAAAACACUUUAAAAUUGAUCAAGUUUUGUUAUUGUCAAUAAUCAAUCAUUUGUCCUAAAAAUUUUAUUGAUCUUCACUUGAUGCAAUAUGAUUUUUUUUCAAUAAAUUUCUCAAAAUUUCAGCAUCAACACCUUAUUUUAAUGUAUUUCUGAACAAGAUCCAGUAAGCCAAUAAAAUAUUACUUAAUAAUCCCUCUACAAUAAAAAUUAUUUUAUAAUGAAUCUAAAUCAUGUCCAGGCCUCGACGCAUACAGACGCAUACACGUGUAAGUUUAAUCCCAAAGCUCAAUUUGCUUAGGACAUCUCCCUUUUAAAAGGGUUGGUGCUUUUUAAAUUUAAUUUUAACUUCACAACUUUUCAUUUAAUAAACAUAAAAAAGGUUUUGUUUCUUUUCUAUAUAGAAUAGAGUUUUUUUUAGAAAGUUUUUGGUUUUACAAAAAUAUAUUAACUCAUGAUUUUUUUAGAUCAAUUUCUCAUUAACCCAUAUUUUUUAAAAUCAUGUUAAUGUUUCAUAUUAAAUUAAAAUUAAUUUUUAAUAAAAUUUUAACCCAAAAAGUGAGUAGACUCUACUUUUAAUUUGGUUUUAAAUAUGUCCAUUUAACCAUAUUCUUAGAUAAGUUUUCCAACAACACAACACAUCAUUAGUAGUCCUUAAAAGUUGUAAUAGUUAUUGCAACAAUAAACAACAAUAACUACUUUUUUAUCUAGAACUAACCUUAACAACGGGACGCCAAAUUAAGAUCUUACAUGAGGUAGUAUGGUAUUUUUUUAGGGGCAUAUGAAGAUUUCCCAACCUGGAAUCAAUAAGGUCAAGUUAUAUGCUAUUUUUUUAAUGGCACAUGAAAAGUAAAACUUGCCUUUGAAGAACUUGUAAUAGUUAUCCGCAAAUUAUCAGAUUAAGUCAAGUUAUAUGCAAUUUCAAGAUAUUGAAGACUUGCAUAUCUUUCUCAAAAAAAAUAAAGAAAAGACAUCCUCGAAUUGGCUUCGUUUGUGAAGUUCCAAAAACUACUUAGUGUUUGAACUCUAGAAGAACCCCGACUCUACGGUUGAAAGAGUAGGUGGUGCUGCGUCUUUAUGCUUUUUUCUUUUGCUGCUGAUCUCACAUCGAGAACAGCUCCUUGACAGUUGAUCCUAUUUAAAAAAGAACCUUUUUUUUUUUUCUAAAUGAGUGUUUAAGAAAAUUAAUUUAAGCAAAGUAUUGUUAAGAUACGAAAAGGUUUUCUAGAUUAAAAAAAAAUGUGAAAUUUUUAUAUAACUAGUUAAUUAAAAUUCUUAAUGAACUAGAAUUUAAAGUUCUUGUUGCAAAAAGGAUAUUUUGAACUUAUAAUCUAUCUAUAAAUAUAUAAAUAUAAGGGGCAAUAUAUGCUGUUAAGGCUUUUGCAAAUUGAGAAAUGGAAAACGAUGUUGAAUGCGGUGGGAGGGUGGGGAAAGUAUAUCAGAAAAUAUAUCCAAAUGCAACUCCGUUAUCAAAAAUCUACAUAACUAUAUAAACAACAAUAAAAAAAAAAGAAAAAGAAAAAAAAAAGAAUACAUUAUAGAAGAGGAUAAAUGAAUGACAAGAGGAAAACCAAAAGAAAAUGCCCUUCAGACAACAAACAAUAAAUCCACUAGAAACAGUGAAGAUCAAAAUUUUGAAGGGCAUGAAGGAUUCAACUCCAAAUGCAAUCAUUGGCUAAGCAACAACUGGUUGAAUUGCAAUUCCUGCUUCCUUGAAACUUGACACGCUCUCUGAUAGAUUUUGCAAGGCUUUCUCGAAAUUAACGAAACCCAUAAACCAGAAGUCGUGCCCAUCGGUGCUGACAAGUUGAAUGUACUUCCUUGAUGGAUUUUCCAGCAUUGUCUCCGAGCUGACUGUGCUUAUUUUGUCCAAGGGUAUCAUAACCUGCCCAAAAUAAAUUAUUAUUGAAUUCAUUAUUAGUACCAUGAUGUACACGGAUGGCUAUGGCAAGAUAGAAAAUUUAGUUUGAGCUUUGAUUGCCAAAGACAUUUAUUUUUGCUUUGCUGUAUCUCCGUGAACUACCCUUUUAUAUAUGCACGAUUUCUCUCAACUUCACCUUUUGUUUGGAAUUUAACAGAGCUUAACUAUAUAUAUAACAAUAGCUUUGAAUGUAGUAAAAUCUAUCCGACUUGGUGUCUAGCUAGCGAUGUAUUUACCUUGUAGUAGCUCCAGGCCUCCUCUCCUGAAGGAGCAGUAUGGGACAGAGGACGGUCACUGCAGAACGCGACUCGAGCAGUUGAUAGAUAGAGCGUCCCGGCAACAGGGCCAGUAGAUGUUGACAGGUAACAAGCAAAAGUCUUCUUCAGCUUCUCAUUAGGAUCCGUUUCAAAUAUUUGCUUGAAGAGAGACUCAAAGCCACCCUCUGUGAUUGCUUUCGCCGUCAGGUUUACCUUACCCCAGGCAGAUUGUGGCACAGAUGGCCCUGUGCUAACUGCAUUAAAGUGUAUGUGCAGGUGCGUGUUAAAACAGAUCAGAAAUAAGAUUGGAAGAUACACUUGAACUGAAUUUGUUGUCCGCUUUGAUGCCAGAAAAUCGCUACUCUAUCAUGGUCACAGUGAUGAUCAAUUAGCUAAAUUUAAUACUUCAUGGUUUGUGAACAUCAACUUACGAUUGUGCCACAUGUUACGGGCUACGGUCUCUGCCUUCUUGCCCCAUCCCUGAAACUUAUGGAUCACAGGUUCAAAAGAUUUCUGGGUUGACUUUUCUGAUUUGUCAAUGGGAGUAUAAACCAGGUAUGGGUGCUCGGGGAUUUGCUGGUGCUCACUGGCAGUCCAUAAGGCAGCCUGUUGGUUGUCAGGGUGGACGUUAGGAGCUGCUGCUGGUCCCAUGAUGUGGGUGCCCCAUUUCUUGGGCUUCUCAUCCGAUGCUGGUGGGUGAUCAUUAGGGUGGGAUUCCUCCGUGACAGUGGCAGAUGAGGUUGGUUCAUGGAAUUCUGCCUCUUGAUCAGCCUUAGGUGGUGGUGGUGGUUGUGGUGGAGGUACUUGUUGGGUUUCUGCCUCUUGAUCAGCCUUAGGUGGGGGUGGUGGGGUUACUGGUUGGGUUUCUGCCUCUUUGUUGGUGGGAGGAACCACUGGUGGUGGCUUUGAAACACUCAGAGGGGAUAAAACACACUGGUUUUAUUACAAAAUCCGAAGCUUACAAAUAACACAAAAUAAAAGCUUAAUACACGCCCUCUCUCUCUCUCUUUCUCUUUCAAGUGUUUCUCUCUAUUCUCUCCACACAUAUAACAUAAGCUGGGCACUCUAUUUAUACACAAAUCAAAAUACGAAAAUUCAACCUUCAAGUGUGAAGGCGGCUGGCGGCUGGAGGCGGCUGGCGGCUGCGGCUGGUGGCUGGUCGGCGCUGGUGGUUGGUGGCUGGUUGCCUUCCUUGACCUUCUUGCUUCUAUAUAUUGAGUUUAAAUUCAACAAAUCUCCCCUUAAACUCAAUCGAGAGAUGUCAUGUCAAGCAUGAACACUUCUCCUUUCAAUGCCUUCUUUCUGCUUGUAGCCUUUAUCCUAAUUUGCUUUUGUCUUGUAGACCCUUUUGACACCUAUUGCUUUCUUCUUUUCUGGUGGGUCCUUAUCUGCAUGGAAACAAAACAGAGUUGUAUCUUCCAUGACCUGAGUGGUAUCGUACAACUCUUCAAGAUUCCGCAUCCUUCUUGGUCCUUCUGAUGAGGAUGCUGAUGGUGGUGUUGAUGAUGAUGCUCCUGGUGUGUUCCUCCUGUUGAAUACAGGGAAUCUUGUACCGGACUUUGUGGUUCAGCUGCUGGUAUAAACACGGACUUUGUGGUUCAGCUGCUGGCACAAUGGUUCUUCUACAAGUACUGUUGGUACUUCUUCACCUUCAAGGAUCAAAUCAAGAUUGAUCCAUUUGACUGCUUCUUGAUCACCAUUCCAUGCCCAAGAUUUAUCUUCUUCAAAGAUAACAUCUCUACUCGUAAUCACCUUCUUCGUGAUGGGAUUAUACAGCCUGUAUCCCAUCCUUCUUUCACCAUAUCCGACAAAGAUGCAUUUCUCGCUCUUAUCAUCGAGCUUUCUCCUUCUUGCAUCUGGGAUCUUUGCAUAUGCCACACAACCAAAGACUCGUAGAUGAGUAACACUUGGUUUGUGACCACUCCAUGCUUCUUCUGGAGUGACUCCUUGCAAACUUCUGGUUGGGCAGCGAUUCAACAGAUACACUGCACAUGAUACAGCUUCAGCCCAGUAUUGCUUGGGCAACUUCUUUGCUUUGAGCAAACUUCUGCCAUGUCAAGAAUCGUGCGAUUCUUCCUUUCUGCUACACCGUUCAGCUGUGGUGUAUAAGCUGGCGUCGUCUGAUGUCUGAUGCCUUGUUGUGUACAAUAGGCUUCAAAGUCAUUGCUGUAUAUUCUCCACCUUGAUCAGAUCUCACUGUUCUGAUCGUAUAACCAGUUUGCUUCUCCACAAUUGCUUUAAAAUCUUUAAAACAAUUGAAUACUUCUGACUUCCUCUUCAGAAAGUAUAUCCACGUCUUUCUACUAAAAUCAUCAGUAAAAGUGAGGAAGUACCUAUUUUGUCCAGUCGACAUAGGCGUAAUUGGGCCACACACAUCUGUGUGUACUAACUCCAGUGGCCUCUUUGCUCUCCAGUUGACUUCUUUGGCAAAACUGGAUCUGUGAUGUUUGCUGAGGACACAACUCUCACAGACUUUCUGGAUGAUCAAUGUGAGGCAAACCUUUGACCAUCUUCUUGCUUGCUAGCAUCUUCAUACUGUGAAAUUCAGAUGUCCAAGCCUCAGGUGCCAAAGCCAUUCUUCACUGUUGGUGAUGGCACUCAAACACCUUGUUGCAUCAUACUGGAUGUUCAAAGGAAACAUCCUAUUCUUGGACAUUUUCACGUAGGCCAUUAAUCUCCCAUUGUUGUCUCUAAUUGUCAGAUGACAAUUCUUCGAGUAAAAACUAUAUCCUCUCUCCAAAAGUUGCCUAAGCUGAUCAGGUUCUGCUUUAUGGCUGGGACAUAAUACAAUCGGCGAUGUAGCUGGAAUCGCCAUUCUUCAACUUGACUGGGAUGUUGCCUUUACCUUUGAAUGGAACCUUUGUGGUAUCUCCAAAAGUAACUAGACCUUGCUUGGUCUCAUCUAGAUCACCAAAUAACUCUCGGUAGCCGCACAUGUGAUUGCUGGCUCCAGUAUCUAGAUACCAUAUUCUCCUGUUUCUCGCCAAUUCUUGUUGGACAAGAAAUGCAGAUGCUUCUCCAUCAUGCUUCUCUACAUAGUUGGCUUGCUCACGUAUCUCCAACGGAGCUUUCCAUCGGCAUUCAGUGCUAUAGUGCCCAAAUUGAUUGCAGCUAUAACAUUUGAUAUUUCUCUUGUCACGGUUAUUGUAACCGCCUCCUCUUCCUCUAGGAGUGAAUGCUUGUUGUCCUCGGCCUCCUCUGGUGGUGUUUCUGCCACCUCUUCCUCUAAAGCUUGUAUUCCAAGAACCUCUUCCUUGGAAUCUCUGGAAUCCUCCUCUGGAUUGUUGACUUCCUCCUUGAGUGGUGUAGCCACUUGAUGAAGUCUCCCCUUGCUCAUAUCUGUCCUUGAAAGACAGCUUUGCUUGUAAGGCAUGCUCAAUGGCCUUAUCUUCAUUUCGCAUUACAAUCUUCUGCUCAUGAGCUUGCAAAGAACUCAUAAGCUCAUCACUGUCAACUUGUCCACUUCCUUGGACUCUUCAAUUGCGACAACAACAUGAUCAAAUUUUGGAUCUAUGGAUCUCAAAAUUUUCUCAAUAAUUCGAGUAUCGAUGAGGGCUUCUCCAUUUCUUCUCAUCUGGUUGACUAUCACCAUAAUCCUUGUGAUAAUCAGAAAUAGAUUCUGAGGACUUCAUUCGUAAUAAUUCGAAUUCUCCUCUCAAAGAUUGAAGACGAAUCUUCUUGAUUCUGUCAGCACCUUUGUAUUUCUGUUGGAGAGCCUCCCAUAUAUCAUGUGACGUUUCAGCGGAAGCUAUUAUCUCGAAUGUAUCUUCAUCAAGACCUUGAUAGAUGAUGGUCUUUGCUUUGUUGUCCUUCUUUCUGUUGACUUUGAGGGCUUGCUUCUGUGCCUCUUGUAAAGCAUCUUCUCUUUCUUUGGACUCUGGUUCAUCAUAACCAGUUUGUACAAUAUCAAACACUCUUGUGACCCAAGAAAUGCCUUCAAUCUGAUGCACCAACUAUCAUAGUUGUCUUUGGUCAGCUUGGAUGAGUGUAUGUGUACCUUCUGUAGUCAUUUUGCUCUUUUAAUGACUAUAUCGCCUUCUGGGAGCCGAAUUUGACCAAACGGACACUGUAGAUCGAUCCGGAAUGGUCCAAAUAGUCGGGAACCGGUCUGACUUUGUUGAAAUCGGGUCAGAAAAUGGGUGAACCGGUCAAAAAACCAAUUCUGUACGGCGGGCGGUUCGCUGGGUUGAACCGGGAAUAUUCUGGGAAUAUUCUGGGAAUAUUCUGGGAAUAUUCGGGGAAUAUUCCUUCGGCUCGGCUUAGGCUGGAACGCGGCUCGGCUCGCCUCGGGGGUACGGCUCGGCUUGUGGCUCGGCUGGACUCGGCUUAGGCGGCUUACACGGCUCAAUAUAUGGCGCGCGUGUGGCUCAGUCGUCUUCAACCUCGGGGCGCGUGGGCGAUCUGGCUGAAUAUUCAGGCGGCGCGUGUGGGCUACCCGGAACUCCGAUUUGGCUGAUUUUUGCGGCAGUGAGUUCGUCUUGAUGAGCUCUACACUUUGGAAUGAUCAAAACUUGUUUUUGACAAUUUUGAAAAUUCGGAUAUACCCCAAAACACUUCUGUUUUCCGACGAACGGGGCUCUGAUACCAAUUGUUGGUGGGAGGAACCACUGGUGGUGGCUUUGAAACACUCAGAGGGGAUAAAACACACUGGUUUUAUUACAAAAUCCGAAGCUUACAAAUAACACAAAAUAAAAGCUUAAUACACGCCCUCUCUCUCUCUCUUUCUCUUUCAAGUGUUUCUCUCAAUUCUCUCCACACAUAUAACAUAAGCUGGGCACUCUAUUUAUACACAAAUCAAAAUACGAAAAUUCAACCUUCAAGUGUGAAGGCGGCUGGCGGCAAUGGAGGCGGCUGGCGGCUGCGGCUGGUGGUUGGUCGGCGACUGGUGGCUGGUGGCUGGUUGCCUUCCUUGACCUUCUGGGAGCUUCUGGAUAUAUUGAGUUUAAUAUUCUACACUCUUGAUAUUCAGCCUUAGGAGACGGUGGUGGUGGUGGGUGUUGUGUUUCUGUCUCUUGAGGAGUGCUUGUCAUCUUUACUGAAUGGAAGGUAAAAGUGGGAAAACAGAAAAAGCGGCAGUUCAAGAUUGGUUAUCUGAUUCAGUGAGAACUCUUUGGAAGAUUUGAUGGUUAAAUUGGUGCUAAUAAACUGUUGAUUUAUAGAAGUUCAAUUCAUGGGUUAUCCGUAUUAUAUAAUUUCCAGACACGGUUUCGUUUUCGUUGCAAUGAAGAAAGAUGAAAAAUCAACCUUCUAGAUUAGCAAGAAGGUGUUCAGCCAUAUAAAUUAUGCUCUUUCUAGAUAUUUUGAAAACGGGUGCCAUUGUCAAAGCACCGCUUGAUAUUAUCACGGAUAGAAUCAUAGAAAAGAAGGUUUGUCUGCUUUGCAUCAACAAAUUAACAAAAUAUCUAAAAAAAUAUUAAUUUAAUAUUUUUAUAUAAAACAAUUUUAAAUAAUAAAAAUUAUCAAAUAUCAAAUACAUAAUUAUACAAAAUUAGUACUCCUUAUAUAUAUAAAAAAAUAUUUAGAAUAUUUAAUAUUUUGUAUGAAAUUGAAGAUAAAAAAUUUAAUUAAUGCUAUAAGAUCAAGUUAAAAAUUUAUUAAAAAAAUUUAAAUAGAAAACGUAUUUUUAAAUUUUCAUUAACAUAUUUUUAAUUUUUAAUAUAAACAGAUAUUUGUUUUUCCAUAAAAUUCAGCUCACGUUCACCGGUCCGGGCUCGCCAACUUGAAGCAGGAUAAUGCGCCACUUUUUCGUAUAUAAAAAAUUUAAAAAGCGAAACCCUCCGCCGCCUAUGACAAAGGAAACCUUAAGAACUUAAUGUGGCAUUUACAGUCACAUGGGCUUUACAUCCCAAGAGGAUCUUUUCGGCCCUCAAACGCUAAAAACUAUGCUUCGGCCUUUUUAGGUCUCAAUGUUAAUGGGUCUCAUAAACUCUUAGCCCAGUCCAUAUAGGCAAAAUGCAUGAUAAAAUUAAAACUUAAAACGACAGGGACCAAAUUGUAAUGUUUCAUGCCAAAGUGAAAAGGGCUGCAUUUGUUUGGUCGUGUCAUUGCUGAUCCCUGUUGUUUCAAUUUUCUACAAUUGAUAAAAUCUAAACUAAAAGAUAGCUCGUUCCAUGAGAUAAAUAUAAUAUCUUCCGUCUCGUUUAACGGAGCUUUGAACUGUAACGUAAUAUUUUUUUGAAUGGGAAAUAGCUCGAAGUUCAUCUUUGUUGUUUGCUACAGGUAUGAUAGGACGGAGAGAGAUCCACUGAUAAGGCGGUUUUGGUGACAUUUAAAUGCCGAAAGGAGGGCAUUUCUCAGCGACGGAGUUCUUCCUAACCGCCCCUUAUCAGUCGCGCUCCUUCUUCUCUUUUUGAAGAAAUAGAAAUAAAUCAAGGUUUGAAGCCUAGGGGUUUCACCAUCUGCUCUAACAGACUCUGCCUUCUCCGGGCAUCUUAGUCGGGAAUCAAAUUCUCUUUCUAAAGAACUUCCUUCGUUCCACCGUAUCUUCUUCCUUCCUCUCAAAACAAAGGAUUCUAUGAGUUCCGUGCUUUAUCUAAGUGGACAAAAAAACAUCACACUACAAAUAAAAUAUGUAAAAGUACCAAGCAAUUAUAAAAUGAAUUGCACCGAAACGAUAUUUUUAAAAUUUAUAUAUAUUGAAAAAAUAUGAAAAAAAAGGUCAAAUUAAAAGAAACAUAAACUUAAAAAACUCACUUCUUUAUUUAUAUAUAUAUAUAUAUAUAUAUAUAAACAAUAGAAUUAAUUUGAGCUUCAAGUGAUUUCUUAACAGUUUCAUUGACUAAAUUAAUCGAAUUGAUGAAGGAUUUGCAACAACUAGAAAAAAAAAAAAAAAAAAGAUUAGACUUAGUUGCACUGUGUCAAUUUACGGUAUAGGUUUUUAGAUUGCCAGCCUCUAGUAUCCGAGUUGUCCAAACUAAUCUGGUGGUCGCCCCGAAUUGCAUGCCUGGCAGUGGCAGGUGAGGCUACCAAUAAGAAUUUAUACGUACACGGGGAUUCGAAAUUGAGACCUUACUUAAGCGGAAUAAGCUGCUUACCACUUGAACCAACCCCUAUUAGUAAUUUGCAGUAUAGUUAAAUGUUUAGAAAUAGUAAAAGAAAAAUAAAAUUGGCUGCUUUUUUAGUUUAUACUAGUUUGUAUAUCCAUGAAGUGAGGGGUUUUUAUUUUUUUUUAAAUGUGAAAACAAUAUAUAGGUUUAAAAAAUUCUUUGGCAUUGAAGUAUUGUUAUUAAACUUGGAAAUACAGCUGUUUUAAUUUUUUUCUUUUUAUCAAGAUAAAUUUUUCUAUUAAUGUAUAACUUGUUUAUCUUUGUCAACACGAUAUUUUUAACUAGAAUUAUUCUUUCUAUUUGAAAAAUAAUAAUAUAUGAUUAUUAAAAAAAUUAACAAAUAAUCUCAAAAUAACAUGUUCAUAUUUUUGUGUGAUUAAAAGCUAAAAAACUAUAAAUAUGAUAAAAUUCACAUUUAAAAUUAAUUUAAAUUCUUAAUAAUAAAAAAAAUAUUUUCAAUCGAGUUUUCAUGAACAAUUUAUUAUUAGUAUUAUUAUUUUAAAAUAAAAUUCAUAAUAAAUUUAAAAAAUUAUUAAAAUUCAAAUAAAAAUUUGUAAUAAUAUUUAAAAAUGAUAUCAAAAGUAAAUAAUAAAUAAAUCUGAUAACUUUUUUUUAGAGUUUAAAAAAACAAAGAGAAAAAAAAACACAGCCAACUUUAAUUAUUAUUGAUUUUACCAUCAAACGUUGAAAACAUGAAAUAAGCUCCAUCAUCUUUUUCAUCCAUGGACAUUGCAAGCGGUGGAAUAAGUACGUAUAAUGGAGUAAUUUUCAAGCUUGGUCUUUGUGCGUUGGAAAUUUAGAACAUGCAUCCAAACGCUACUUGAAUUCUAACAUGCAUAUUAUUACGACAUCUAUGAAAAAAAAAGGUUAUAAGUAAAUACACAACAGAAAAUUAAGAAUAAAACAGAAGCUAAUAAAAAAAGCGAUUCAUGCUACAACAAGAAAUACACAACAAACAAGAUAAGCAAAAAUUUGAACGCCAUGGAGUAUCCAGCUGUAAUUACAUAAUCGACUAAACAACAACGGGCUGAAUUGCGCAUUCUGCUUCCCUGAGAUUCGACGCCUUCUCUAAGAGAUGGUGGGAUUGAUAAAUACUAGGAAAUGUGUGAAAGGAAGAAUUGUAUAAUUAUCACUUUGGCUAUAUAAAUAGCCUUACAUAACAAACUGAACAAGAAAUAUGCAACCCACGUUUAACAAUCCUUAAAAACAUGGUAAGACUAAAUCAAAUAAAUAAAAACACCCUUCAUAGUAGGGAUUUAUUAGACUAAGCAAUAACAAACCAAAUCAACAGGGAUGCCUCUCAAAUUUGACGAAACCCAUGAACCAGAAUUCGUGCCCGUCAAUGGUGACAAUCUGAAUGUACUUCUCUGGUGGACUUUCUUUCAUGGUAACUGGGUUUGACUGUGCUUAUUUUUCCCAAGGGUAUCAUAACCUGCUCAAAGAAGUUUUCAUUAUUGAAUUAAUUAAUACCAAUAUAGAUGUUAUAAUUAGCCAUAGAUCGAAGAUUUAUUGUGAGGUGACCUGUGAUUGUGUUGUAUAUGUUAAUGAUAUACUCAAGUUGCAAUGCUAUAGAAUUUAUGCACUUAUAAUACCAAAAAUUAGUGUUUUAAUUAACAUUUUGCACCAUCCGACAAUGCAGGUUGCGCUAAUGGCCAGCGUAGAUUAGCUUCUUCUUUAGUUAUUUCCGCAAAUUCUUGUUUAGUCAGAUUUUUCCUAACUUUACAUUUGUAACUCAUAACUACACGAAGAUCCAUGAUCAAGAAAAACUUCAACGCACUAAAACAUGUCAGGAUUUCUGCCUCGCAAUUUAUUUACCUUGUAGUAGCUCGACGCCUCCUCUCCUGAAGGAGCAGUAUAGCACAGAGGACGGUCACUGCAGAAAGCGACUCGAGCAGUUGAUAGAUAGAGCGUCCCGGCAACUGGGCCAGUAGGUGUGGAAAGGUAACAAGCAAAAGUCUUCACCAGCUUCUCAUUAGGACCAGUUUCAAAAAUCUGCUUGAAGAGAGACUCAAAGCCACCCUCUUUGAUUGCUUUUGCGGUCAGGUUUACCUUACCCCACGCAGCUUGUGGCACAGAUGGC
RNAcentral lists this long non-coding RNA (16277 nucleotides) under Populus tremula. RNAcentral's name for it is "long non-coding RNA (PTRE_LNC001957)". The record is from RNAcentral. Lineage: Eukaryota; Viridiplantae; Streptophyta; Magnoliopsida; Malpighiales; Salicaceae.